Molecule: ribosomal RNA, 711 nt
Filed under: fungal sp.
Lineage: Eukaryota; Fungi
Description: eukaryotic LSU rRNA
Rfam family: 5.8S ribosomal RNA (bases 197-351)
Source: RNAcentral
UUAACGAGUUAGGGUCUCUCUGGCCCGACCUCCCAACCCUUUGUCUACUUGACCAUCGUUGCUUCGGCGAGCCCGUCCUCACGGACCGCCGGAGGGAUCUUUACUGGCCCUCUGGUCCGCGCUCGUCGGUAGCCCAACCUUUAAAAUCUUUAACUAAACGUGCCUUAAUCUAAGUACAAUUAUUAAAUAAAAGCAAAACUUUCAACAACGGAUCUCUUGGUUCUGGCAUCGAUGAAGAACGCAGCGAAAUGCGAUAAGUAAUGCGAAUUGCAGAAUUCCAGUGAGUCAUCGAAUCUUUGAACGCACAUUGCGCCCUUUGGUAUUCCGAAGGGCAUGCCUGUUCGAGCGUCAUUAUCACCCCUCAAGCCCUCGGCUUGGUGUUGGACGGUUUGGUGGAGGCCCCCUCGGGGGUUCCUGCCCCUCCCAAAGACAAUGACGGCGGCCUCGUUGGACCCCCGGUACACUGAGUUCUUCACGGGACACGUAUCGGACACAUGGGUUUACGGGACACGGUCUGCCUCCCCUCAGGGAGAAUCUUUCUAAGGUUGACCUCGGAUCAGGUAGGGAUACCCGCUGAACUUAAGCAUAUCAAUAAGCGGAGGAAAAGAAACCAACAGGGAUUGCCUCAGUAACGGCGAGUGAAGCGGCAACAGCUCAAAUUUGAAAUCUGGCCUCUUUGGGGGUCCGAGUUGUAAUUUGUAGAGGAUGUUU